Coffea arabica (coffee) is the source of this 392-nucleotide RNA transcript. RefSeq lists it as uncharacterized. NCBI's taxonomy places the organism in Eukaryota, Viridiplantae, Streptophyta, Magnoliopsida, Gentianales, Rubiaceae. The record is from RefSeq and is a predicted model, not a curated record.
UGGAUAUCUUGUUCCAGAUGAUGUCUACAAGGUUAUAGUACUGUUUACUAUGAUUGUUAGGUAGUUUUGAUCAGAAGAGGAGUGGAAGAUUCAGACUGGAUGGCUUCAUAUCACUCUGUAUAUUUGUACAGUCUGCGCGAAUGCUGAACUGAGUGCUCAUGUGGCUAAGCGGUAAAAAGGAAGGAAUCUGCUGUCCUGUGUUAGGCAUGUAUGUCGUUGGAUUAUGAGUGCAGUUUCGUUGGAUGUUUUUUAGUUAAUGUGUAUUAUGUAAUUGUAGUUGUUGGAGGACUCAAGCACAGAAAUUAUGUAAUAGCUAGGUUGUUACUAUUGUUUAUCGCUUCAAGCUUUGAUAAUGGACUUAUCAAGCUUUAAUAAUGAAUGUACUUCGGUUA